Molecule: long non-coding RNA, 206 nt
Filed under: Elaeis guineensis (African oil palm)
Lineage: Eukaryota; Viridiplantae; Streptophyta; Magnoliopsida; Arecales; Arecaceae
Description: long non-coding RNA (EGUI_LNC026628)
Source: RNAcentral
CCAUCCAACCUCUUUCUUUUGUCUGUCUGUAUAGAUCUCGAAGCGGCCAUUGGGUGAUCCAACGGUUAAUGUUGCGAAAGGAGGUGAUACAACCUCUCCCCUCUAUCAAAAACCAAAAAAAGCCCUUCCAGUGAGAUGAUGCAUAGGGAAAACAAAAUGUUUUGAGAGAUUGCAGGAAGGCUUUGUGAUAUAAAUCUUUAUCAAUC